Molecule: long non-coding RNA, 465 nt
Filed under: Ursus maritimus (polar bear)
Lineage: Eukaryota; Metazoa; Chordata; Mammalia; Carnivora; Ursidae
Description: lncRNA (ENSUMAG00000016323.1)
Source: RNAcentral
UGGGCGUCAGUGUAAAUGAGAGGAGAAACGAGGAGCUCUUCAGGCCCUUGGGGAGAAUUAUUUUUUAAAUGUUCAUGCACUGGACAUUUUUUUUUUUUCUUGUAAAGCAAUUGAAAUCAAAAGGCGGAGUCUUCUUGAGAGACUGGAAUUACAUUGCCUGAAUUAACUGUGUCUCAUCUCUUGCUCUUCUGGCUUGCGUUUCAACAGAGUGAACCGGAGCCACGUGGAAGCUAGUUUGAAAGGGUGCACCAAGGUGCCGUCUACACCACAGGCCGCCCCACAAGAGGGAGAAUCGCUGCUCCCUGCAUGCGUUUCUGCUGCCAGGGCUGGGAGGGGAAGUACGACGUGUCCUGACCCACGGAAUGGAGCAUGGAGAAGGGACAUUUUCCAACUCAGUGGCGUCCGACUGUGGAAACAUUUGUGACGCAGGCGGGGCUUCAAGGGUUCCGUGAGACGAAGGCGGCU